RNAcentral lists this long non-coding RNA (3268 nucleotides) under Salmo salar (Atlantic salmon). Its description in RNAcentral is "lncRNA (ENSSSAG00000095763.1)". Lineage: Eukaryota; Metazoa; Chordata; Actinopteri; Salmoniformes; Salmonidae. The record is from RNAcentral.
CUCUCGUUGGCGGUAGGAGUGGACCAAAGCGCAGCGUGGUAAGUGUUCAAAAUGUAUUAUAUAUAACGAAACACUUAAACAAAGAAACAAAACGAAAGCCAACAGUUCUGUCAGGUCACUGAUAACAAAACAGAAAACAAUUACCCACAAACACAGGUGGAAAACAGGCUGCCUAAGUAUGAUUCACAAUCAGAGACAACGAUAGACAGCUGCCUCUGAUUAGGAACCAUACUCUGCCAAAACAAAGAAAUACAAUACAUAGAAUGCCCACCCCAUAUCACACUCUGACCUAACUAAACAGAGAAAAACGUCUCUCUCAGGUCAGGGCGUGACAGUGUGUGUGUGUGUGUGUGGUCUUGAUCCUCUAUCCUUGUGGAGACCUAAAAUCCCCAAUGUCUCCACAAGGAUAGUAAAACAAGGAAAAUUCUCCCUCGUUGGGACAUUUCCCACGUCCCCAUGAGGACAAAGGCUAUUUUAAGCUUAGGGGUUAGGUUUAGGGUUAGGAUUUGUGUUACAAUUAGGUUUAGGAUUUGUGUUAGAAUUAGGGUUAGGUUUAGGAUUUGUGUUAGAAUUAGGGUUAGGGUUAUGAUUUGUGUUAGAAUUAGGGUUAGGUUAAGGGCUAGGUUUAAGGUUUCCUGGAGAGCUUGUGCCCCUCUACCUAUAUUAGUGCUGAAUUAUAUUGUUUUAUACACAUGUAUAUUUUAUUCUGUUUUUAUUGUAAUGUGAUUUUAUAAUCUCAAUGUGACUCCCUGAUUAAAUAAAAGGUUAAAUACAAAAUAAAAGGAAAAUAGGAUUCUGAAUGAAAAUCAAUUUUAGGUCCCCAUGAGGAUAGAAGAACGAGUGUUGGUGUGUGAAAUAUUAAACCAAGGCAGCAGCAGCAUUGUUUUUACCCAGCUACAGAAGAGGUCAAUACGAGCAGUGAGAGGUCCAAUUUUACCCAGCUACAGAAGAGGUCAAUACGAGCAGUGAGAGGUCCAAUUUUUACCCAGCUACAGAAGAGGUCAAAAUGAGAAGUGACAGGUCCAGUUUUUACCCAGCUACAGACGAGGUCAAAAUGAGAAGUGAGAGGUCCAGUUUUUACCCAGCUACAGAAGAGGUCAAAAUGAGAAGUGACAGAUCCAGUUUUUACCCAGCUACAGAAGAGGUCAAAAUGAACAGUGAGAGGUCCAGUUUUUACCCAGCUACAGAAGAGGUCAAAAUGAGCAGUGAGAGUUCCAGUUUUUACCCAGCUCCAGAAGAGGUCAAAAUGAGAAGUGAAACUCAGAGGUAUUGUUAUGUGAUAUUACCUCGAUUGACUUACUCAGCAUAAGCCUCAUGUCUUCUGUUAAAAACAAAGGACAUGUCAGUAUAGACGGUUACUGGAAAUUCACAAAUGAAGCCAGCAGUCGUGGCCUUAAAUCCAGCUCCAUGGACCCUGACUGUUCUGUACUACAUCUACUGAAUAAUGUCUGCCAUUUAGAAGAUGCUUUUAUUCAAAGCCACUUACAGUCUUAUGUGUUAUACAUGUUACGUACGGCUGGUCCCGGGAAUCAAACCCACUAUCCUGCACUCACCAAUCAUACCCACUCUACUAUAUCAGGUCUAGGACAUCACCCCAGUCACCCAUCAUAUCCACUCUACUAUAUCUGGUCUAGGACAUCACCCAUCAUACUUACUAUAUCUGGUCUGGGACAUCACCCCAGUCACCCAUCAUACCCACUCUACUAUACCAGGUCUAGGACAUCACCCAACAUUACCACUCUACUAUAUCAGGUCUGGGACAUCACCCAUCAUACCCAGUCUAUUAUAUCUGGUCUAGGACAUCACCCAUCAUACCCACUCUACUAUAUCAGCUCUGGGACAUCACCCAUCAUACCCACUGUACUAUAUCUGGUCUAGGGCAUCACCCAUCAUACCCACUCUACUAUAUCUGGUCUAGGGCAUCUCCCAUCAUACCCAUUCUACUAUUUCAGGUCAAGGGCAUCACCCAUCAUACCCACUCUACUAUAUCUGGUCUAGGACAUCACCCAUCAUACCCACUCUACUAUAUCUGGUCUGGGACAUCACCCCAGUCACCCAUCAUACCCACUCUACUAUAUCAGGUCUAGGACAUCACCCCAGUCACCCAUCAUACCCACUCUACUAUAUCUGGUCUAGGACAUCACCCAUCAUACCCACUCUACUAUUUCAGGUCUAGGACAUCACCCAUCAUACCCAGUCUACUAUAUCUGGUCUAGGACAUCACCCAUCAUACCCACUCUACUAUAUCAGGUCUAGGACAUCACCCAUCAUACCCACUCUACUAUAUCAGGUCUAGGACAUCACCCCAGUCACCCAUCAUACCCAAUCUACUAUAUCAGGUCUAGGACAUCACCCCAGUCACCCAUCAUACCCACCCUACUAUAUCAGGUCUAGGACAUCACCCAUCAUACCCACUCUACUAUAUCUGGUCUAGGGCAUCACCCCAGUCACCCAUCAUACCCACUCUACUAUAUCUGGUCUAGGACAUCACCCAUUAUACCCACUCUACUAUAUCAGGUCUAGGACAUCACCCCAGUCACCCAUCAUACCCACUCUACUAUAUCUGGUCUAGGACAUCACCCAUUAUACCCACUCUACUAUACCUGGUCUAGGACAUCACCCAAGUCACCCAUCAUACCGACCCUACUAUAUCAGGUCUAGGACAUCACCCAUCAUACCCACUCUACUAUAUCAGGUCUAGGACAUCACCCAUCAUACCCACUCUACUACAUCUGGUCUAGGACAUCACCCAUCAUACCCACUCUACUAUAUCAGGUCUAGGACAUCACCCAUUAUACCCACUCUACUAUACCUGGUCUAGGACAUCACCCAUCAUACCCACUCUACUAUAUCAGGUCUAGGACAUCACCCAUCAUACCCACUCUACUAUAUCUGGUCUAGGACAUCACCCAUCAUACCCACUCUAGUAUACCUGGUCUAGGACAUCACCCAUCAUACCCACUCUACUAUAUCAGGUCUAGAACAUCACCCCAGUCACCCAUCAUACCCACCCUACUAUAUCAGGUCUAGGACAUCACAUAUCAUACCCACUCUACUAUAUCUGGUCUAGGACAUCACCCCAGUCACCCAUCAUACCCACUCUACUAUAUCUGGUCUAGGACAUCACCCAUCAUACCCACUCUACUAUAUCUGGUCUGGGACAUCACCCAUCAUACCCACUCUACUAUAUCUGGUCUAGGACAUCACCCCAGUCACCCAUCAUACCCACUCUACUAUAUCUGGUCUAGGACAUCACCCAUUAUACCCA